RNAcentral lists this ribosomal RNA (804 nucleotides) under uncultured bacterium. RNAcentral's name for it is "bacterial SSU rRNA". It matches the Rfam family "Bacterial small subunit ribosomal RNA", at positions 8 to 811 of the family's 1533-position model. The record is from RNAcentral.
AGAGUUUGAUCCUGGCUCAGGAUGAACGCUGGCGGCGUGCCUAACACAUGCAAGUCGAGCGAAGCGAUGUUAAGGAAGUUUUCGGAUGGAAUUAAGAUUGACUUAGCGGCGGACGGGUGAGUAACGCGUGGGUAACCUGCCUUAUACAGGGGGAUAACAGUUAGAAAUGACUGCUAAUACCGCAUAAGCGCACGGGAACGCAUGUUUCUGUGUGAAAAACUGAGGUAGUAUAAGAUGGACCCGCGUCUGAUUAGCUAGUUGGUGGGGUAACGGCCUACCAAGGCGACGAUCAGUAGCCGGCCUGAGAGGGUGACCGGCCACAUUGGGACUGAGACACGGCCCAAACUCCUACGGGAGGCAGCAGUGGGGAAUAUUGCACAAUGGGGGAAACCCUGAUGCAGCGACGCCGCGUGAGUGAAGAAGUAUUUCGGUAUGUAAAGCUCUAUCAGCAGGGAAGAAGCAAGACGGUACCUGACUAAGAAGCCCCGGCUAACUACGUGCCAGCAGCCGCGGUAAUACGUAGGGGGCAAGCGUUAUCCGGAUUUACUGGGUGUAAAGGGAGCGUAGACGGUAUGGCAAGUCUGAAGUGAAAGCCCAGGGCUUAACCCUGGGACUGCUUUGGAAACUGUUAGACUAGAGUGCUGGAGAGGUAAGUGGAAUUCCUAGUGUAGCGGUGAAAUGCGUAGAUAUUAGGAGGAACACCAGUGGCGAAGGCGGCUUACUGGACAGUAACUGACGUUGAGGCUCGAAAGCGUGGGGAGCAAACAGGAUUAGAUACCCUGGUAGUCCACGCUGUAAACGAUG